UGCUGCUUUCUUAGAAACUUUCUAGAAAGAGAAAUGGAAGAAUAUUUUUAAACAAAGCUACCAGAGAAACAAUUUCUUGAUUUUUCUAAGAUCCGAUGUUCUAAGAGUUAUUAUCUAACCUUAUAGAUUUUCUUUUCUUUAUUAUUUUAUAAAAUUAUUUUUGAUUUUGACCGAAAUUAUGCAAUUUGUUGAGUGGUUGUGUCGGGGAUAGUGGCUUAAUCUGGGCCAUUCAAUUCUAUAUUUUAAUCUGCGGUGUGUGACAAUAGAUAAAACUAUUUUUGAUUUAAUAUGUGCUCGUCUGAAUCUUCCUGGUAUCCAAGUGAUGUGGUGAAAGUUGAAACAUGUUAUGAUGUUUUUCCAGCAUAUGCUCUCACCCUAAGGACUAUUUUGGUUUGUUGCGGCCAAUCGUCUCAUCGUUCGAUCGCCGGAAAACGAGCACCUGCAAAAAUGAGAAGUCCACACUGACCGGAGGCGGCUCCGGCGGAGACCCUCCGACGGUCAAGUCAGAGAGGUGACUGGGCAACAGUGAAAUGAAGACAGAGAGCUCGAUCGAGAGAGAAAAGGAGAGGGAGGAGCAGGCCUGUGGUUUAGAAGUCGAGAAGUGGGGGGAGCGGAUCGGAUCCCUUGCACUGUUGCCUUCCCCGAUUUAUAUAGUGGAGCACGGUAUGGCGCCGUCAUUAAUGGCGCAGACAAGUGAGGAACUGUCAACUCACUGUAAAUUGUCAGAGUCACCGUGAAAGUGUCAUGUCGCCACGAGACUGUCACAUCAUCAGGGUUGACAAUGCCCUCGGCGGGACAAUGCCCCUA
Molecule: long non-coding RNA, 807 nt
Filed under: Elaeis guineensis (African oil palm)
Lineage: Eukaryota; Viridiplantae; Streptophyta; Magnoliopsida; Arecales; Arecaceae
Description: long non-coding RNA (EGUI_LNC010532)
Source: RNAcentral